RNAcentral lists this ribosomal RNA (490 nucleotides) under uncultured bacterium. RNAcentral describes it as "bacterial SSU rRNA". It matches the Rfam family "Bacterial small subunit ribosomal RNA", at positions 903 to 1397 of the family's 1533-position model. The record is from RNAcentral.
AAAGGAAUUGACGGGGACCCGCACAAGCAGCGGAGCAUGUGGUUUAAUUCGAAGCAACGCGAAGAACCUUACCAGGACUUGACAUCCCUCUGACAGGACUUUAACAGGUUCCUUCUUCGGACAGAGGAGACAGGUGGUGCAUGGUUGUCGUCAGCUCGUGUCGUGAGAUGUUGGGUUAAGUCCCGCAACGAGCGCAACCCUUGUCAAUAGUUGCCAGCAGUAAGAUGGGCACUCUAUUGAGACUGCCGUGGAUAACACGGAGGAAGGUGGGGAUGACGUCAAAUCAUCAUGCCCCUUAUGUUCUGGGCUACACACGUGCUACAAUGGCUGGUACAGAGAGAAGCAAGACCGUGAGGUGGAGCAAAUCUAUAAAACCAGUCCCAGUUCGGAUUGCAGGCUGCAACUCGCCUGCAUGAAGUUGGAGUUGCUAGUAAUCGCAGAUCAGAAUGCUGCGGUGAAUGCGUUCCCGGGUCUUGUACACACCGCCCGU